CCGUGCUAUGCGGGGAGUUAGCGAUGCCCUGUCGUCCGCAAUUCGCUUAGCGGAGCAGAAUGCUUUUUUGAGGCGUAUUCGGUGGAAGGUCAGAUCGUUACAAGGGGCGUUGAUGUUAAGGUCUUGUGCAACCCGAUCCCGCGAACCGUGUCAGAGUAGGAAUACAGCAGCACUAAACGGAUAAUCAGGUGUGCCAUAAGGUUGCUUUAACGGAGUUACCUGUAGCGCCACCGC
This 234-nucleotide signal recognition particle RNA is filed under the name bovine gut metagenome. Its description in RNAcentral is "Bacterial large signal recognition particle RNA". It matches the Rfam family "Bacterial large signal recognition particle RNA", at positions 1 to 230 of the family's 256-position model. Rfam says of the family: The signal recognition particle (SRP) is a universally conserved ribonucleoprotein involved in the co-translational targeting of proteins to membranes. Archaeal SRP consists of a 7S RNA and homologues of the eukaryotic SRP19 and SRP54 proteins. The record is from RNAcentral.